Molecule: non-coding RNA, 130 nt
Organism: Triticum aestivum (bread wheat)
Lineage: Eukaryota; Viridiplantae; Streptophyta; Magnoliopsida; Poales; Poaceae
Source: Rfam
UCGUUAGCCCGUGUCGUAAGGUGUUGGGUUAAGUCUCGCAGCGAGCGCAACCCUCGUGUUUAGUAGCCACCAUGAGUUUGGAACCCUGAAAGACCGCCGGUGUUAAGCCGGAGGAAGGAGAGGUAUAUGA